AGAUGGGGAUAACGGCUGGAAACGGUCGCUAAUACCGAAUACGCUCCCGAUUUUAUCGUUGGGGGGAAAGAUGGCCUCUGCUUGCAAGCUAUCGCUUAAGGAUGAGUCCGCGUCCCAUUAGCUAGUUGGCGGGGUAACGGCCCACCAAGGCGACGAUGGGUAGCCGGUCUGAGAGGAUGACCGGCCACACUGGAACUGGAACACGGUCCAGACUCCUACGGGAGGCAGCAGUGGGGAAUAUUGCGCAAUGGGCGAAAGCCUGACGCAGCGACGCCGCGUGAGGGAUGAAGGUUCUCGGAUCGUAAACCUCUGUCAGGGGGGAAGAAACCCCCUCGUGUGAAUAAUGCGAGGGCUUGACGGUACCCCCAAAGGAAGCACCGGCUAACUCCGUGCCAGCAGCCGCGGUAAUACGGAGGGUGCAAGCGUUAAUCGGAAUCACUGGGCGUAAAGCGCACGUAGGCGGCUUGGUAAGACAGGGGUGAAAAUCCCCACAGCCCAAACUGUGGAACUGCCUUUGAUA
Molecule: ribosomal RNA, 520 nt
Filed under: uncultured bacterium
Lineage: Bacteria
Description: bacterial SSU rRNA
Rfam family: Bacterial small subunit ribosomal RNA
Source: RNAcentral